Molecule: ribosomal RNA, 253 nt
Filed under: uncultured bacterium
Lineage: Bacteria
Description: partial 16S ribosomal RNA
Rfam family: Bacterial small subunit ribosomal RNA
Source: RNAcentral
GACGGAGGUGGCAAGCGUUGCUCGGAAUCACUGGGCAUAAAGGGCGUCUAGGCGGGUCAGUAAGUCGGCUGUGAAAUCCCUCGGCUUAACCGAGGAAGUGCAUCCGAUACUGCUGGUCUUGAGGGCAAGAGGGGAGAGUGGAACUCCUGGUGGAGCGGUGAAAUGCGUAGAUAUCAGGAGGAACGCCGGUGGCGAAAGCGACUCUCUGGCUUGUACCUGACGCUGAAGCGCGAAAGCUAGGGGAGCGAACGGG